UACUUCAAGCCUAAGCGCGCGGUUCGAAAAUUCGUGUGACGUCACGACUUCUGGUCAUAAUAAACUUCGGAACGCAUGCAGUGGCUCUUUGCUGAUUGCUGAAGCUUCUUACGUUGUGCGAACGCUGAAGCAGAAUACUUUGAUUUUUUUAUGGUUUUAAGGUUGGAUGUAUUUUAGAGAGUUAUUAAAAUGCCGGGUAGAUGCUGUGUACCAUUAUGUAAGGGAAACUACCCAACAGGACCAAAAGUGUCUGUAUUCUCCUUUCCUAAAAAUGAAGAUUUGAAGAGAGAGUGGCUUUCUGCAAUCCAACGGAAAGACUUUUCACCCAAAAAGAGUUCAAAGGUAUUCAUAACGAAGAAAGGAGUGUUUUUUAUCAUGAAAUGGCUCUCAGGUGUAAAAAUGCAUAGGAUAUAUCUUAGUUUAUUGAAGUUAAGAAUUGGUGCUUUGUGGACUAAAAAAUAUGUGCAAUAUCCAUUGUCACACCACUCUGUUCAAGAAUAUCGAUCAGUCCUGAAUGAUAAAGAAAAUGAUUAACAAAGGAAUAUCUAGAACUUGAUUGUGUGCAUGAUUUAAUUCCAAAUAUAAGUAUUGGAAUAAUUCAUCCUCCUUAUUUUCAACAAAAACUCUUCAUUUGGUAAUAUACAUUUGUGCUUAUCAGUGUGGUGUCUUGUGUAACAAAUCGUCAGUAUUAUAAAAUAGAUGGAAAGAUCUUUGAUUAUUGCAAGAGCUUUAUGUGCUGAAGAAGUAAAAAAAUGUCCCAGAUAAUUGUGGAUAUUAUGAAACUGAGUAUCAUAAGAAUGGAAAAAUAUUUCUUAAACAAAUUACCUUGUGAUGCAUGUAAUGGGUAUGUUUAUUUUAUUUCAUAUAACUGUAAAUUUAAUUAUUGAUAAUAAGCAAACUUUUUUUUUUUCCCCUAAAAUGCCAUUGGUGUAUUGUCAUUAUUCUAUAUUGACAUGUAUUCUCUUACAUUUAUCAUUGAAACCAGAGAUUUUAUAAUAGAAUAUGGGAAACUUGUGUUGAAGGCCUGUUGAUUGAAAUACAAGUGACCAUUACAUCUUUGGAAUUUGCAUUCUCAUUGCCAAUUUUGAAAAGACAUUCUUUUACAUUUUCUUAAAAAAGUUAACAUUCUAAUGACUUUAGAAGUAAACAUUGGCGACUUCAUAUGAACCAGUCUCUUGGCGAGUUUAGCAAAAAAUUUGCCGAUGGCUUCCCCAUAACAGAACUGUACUGGAUUCUAUACCUGAAUAUUGCAUUAAAAGGAGAGAAAACCAUUUAUUAUGAAGAUAAUAAAUGAUUCAUAUUACGAAUGUUCAUUUCUUAUAAUGAUCGAGUUUUAUAUUCUUGCAUUGUAUUUCUUUUGUGUCAACACAGAAUAAAUUGUGUCGGAUUUCAGUUAUAAUGAUAUGUGUAAAGAUGCUGUAAUAAAAUUUGUUAUAAAUGUA
RNAcentral lists this unclassified non-coding RNA (1442 nucleotides) under Stegodyphus dumicola. RNAcentral describes it as "uncharacterized LOC118205512, transcript variant X3". The record is from RNAcentral. Lineage: Eukaryota; Metazoa; Arthropoda; Arachnida; Araneae; Eresidae.